AAGAUACACUUUAUUGCAAGCAUUAAUUUAACUAUUGUGGAGAAACUGAAGCCGUGUAAUGCUGACUCAGGGCUUGGAGCACGGAAAUAUAUUCCAAAUACAGUAGGUGGGGGUGGUUUCUCCUGUUCCUCACUAGCCAAGUAAGGGCUCGGGGACUUGCAUGGGAUUUAGGUGAUUUGCAGAUGGACUAGGUUGUCACAAAGCAUAUGUGAAGGUAAACACCUUGGUGGAGGCUCUCUGAGCACGUCUGCCUCCACUAAAGUGGAGAUGCCCAAGGAACGUGGAUAGCUUGGGAGCUGUGCACAGGGUGGAGCAGUUCCACGGUCACUGUGCUAGAUACCUGGAAGCCACGUAAAUGCCUCUUGGAGGAGGGGCAGGAUUUGGCUCUAAACAUUAUGGAUCCCAGGUAGCUGGUCCUUUAAGGGAGUCCUGUGGCUAGGUUACCUGCCAGCUCAUGUGAGCCGGCAGGUAACCAGGAAGCCAGACCUGCUUGGUAAUAUAAGGGUACCUGGGCUCAAGUAAGGAAGGAGUUGAGGGGGUAGUAAGGUUGUGUGAGCAGUGCUAGAAGGAAGGCCUGGGCAGGAGCAAGCCUGAGCGUGUGGAAGGUUUGUGCUGGUUUGGCUAGCUGGGGCAGCAGCAGAGCUUGAUACCACAUCAGGUAAGGCCCUGUUCCCUGGUGUAAUGCAUCUACAACCACAGAGUGCUUUGGGCAUGCUGCUAUACUGUAUGCAAGUCACUAGGGAGUUAGUGCAAGUGUAGGCAGAGCCUUGUGCUCCAAAACAUGAGCCCCUUGAGCUAAAGGGAAAUCACAUGGCAAUCUUGUGGCAGUACAGGGUCCCCACUACCAAUGGAGGUGUUCUCAUUAUUGCUGCUAGAGCACAGAUGCACAUCAAUACUAGUAGUAAGCAAAUGAUUCAUGUUUGCUUUUUUUUAAACCCUCAGAUGCAUAAAGUGCUCCAGAGCACAGUUCACUGCCAGGGAUCUGGUCUGGAAGAGCUCACCAUGUGAUUAAAAAGUUAUAUGACUGAGGGUAAUAACUACAGAGAAGAGAAAGGAAUGAGGAAGGAGAGGCUUAUAAUAAACAAGAUCACAAGUUUGCUCAAUUAAGGCAUGUGCACAUCAAAAUGGCUCUGCAAAACAAACUCACUUCCUCAUUAGUGCUGACUUGGAAAGAGGAGCACCAGCUUCCUAAUUGCCAGCACCUGUCUGCAGCUCUUGGAGGAAAGCCCUGUGACCCACUACGCUCAGCCUUUCUUAGCACGUAGGAGCUGCUGGAAGCUCAGUCAACAGAAAACGGAGUGGCUUCAGGAUGGACGCAGAGCAGCACAAAGCAUCAGCAUGCAAUUUCAAAUAAAAAAGAA
Long non-coding RNA from Alligator sinensis (Chinese alligator), 1361 nucleotides. RefSeq lists it as uncharacterized. Lineage: Eukaryota; Metazoa; Chordata; Crocodylia; Alligatoridae. The transcript is spliced from 2 exons. The record is from RefSeq and is a predicted model, not a curated record.